This 305-nucleotide ribosomal RNA is filed under the name uncultured bacterium. RNAcentral's name for it is "bacterial SSU rRNA". It matches the Rfam family "Bacterial small subunit ribosomal RNA", at positions 29 to 334 of the family's 1533-position model. The record is from RNAcentral.
AACGAACGCUGGCGGUGUGCUUAACACAUGCAAGUCGAACGAGAAAACCACUUCGGUGGCAAGUAAAGUGGCGCACGGGUGAGUAACGCGUAGAUAAUCUGCCCUUCAGCCUGGGACAACUUCUCGAAAGGGGAGCUAAUACCGGAUAAUACAUUUUGUCGAGUGUCAGAAUGUUGAAAGAUUUAUCACUGAAGGAUGAGUCUGCGUACCAUUAGCUUGUUGGUAAGGUAAAGGCUUACCAAGGCGACGAUGGUUAGCGGGUCUGAGAGGAUGAUCCGCCACACUGGAACUGAGACACGGUCCAG